CCUACGGGAGGCAGCAGUGGGGAAUAUUGCACAAUGGGGGAAACCCUGAUGCAGCGACGCCGCGUGAGUGAAGAAGUAAUUCGUUAUGUAAAGCUCUAUCAGCAGGGAAGAAAAUGACGGUACCUGACUAAGAAGCCCCGGCUAACUACGUGCCAGCAGCCGCGGUAAUACGUAGGGGGCAAGCGUUAUCCGGAUUUACUGGGUGUAAAGGGAGCGUAGACGGAAUUGCAAGUCUGUAGUGAAAGGCGGGGGCUCAACCCCGGGACUGCAUUGGAAACUGUACGGCUGGAGUGCAGGAGAGGUAAGUGGAAUUCCUGGUGUAGCGGUGAAAUGCGGAGAUAUUAGGAGGAACACCAGUGGCGAAGGCGGCUUACUGGACGGUAACUGACGUUGAGGCUCGAAAGCGUGGGGAGCAAACAGGAUUAGAUACCCCGGUAGUA
This 440-nucleotide ribosomal RNA is filed under the name uncultured bacterium. Its description in RNAcentral is "partial 16S ribosomal RNA". It matches the Rfam family "Bacterial small subunit ribosomal RNA", at positions 338 to 795 of the family's 1533-position model. The record is from RNAcentral.